This 253-nucleotide ribosomal RNA is filed under the name uncultured bacterium. Its description in RNAcentral is "partial 16S ribosomal RNA". It matches the Rfam family "Bacterial small subunit ribosomal RNA", at positions 524 to 776 of the family's 1533-position model. The record is from RNAcentral.
UACGUAGGGGGCAAGCGUUGUCCGGAUUCAUUGGGCGUAAAGGGUGCGUAGGUGGCGCCAUAAGUCGGGUGUGAAAUCUCGGGGCUUAACUCCGAAACUGCAUUCGAUACUGUGGUGCUUGAGGACUGGAGAGGAGACUGGAAUUCAUGGUGUAGCAGUGAAAUGCGUAGAUAUCUGGAGGAAUACCGGUGGCGAAGGCGACUACCUGGCCUGUUCUUGACGCUGAGGCGCGAAAGCUAGGGGAGCAAACGGG